UCGAAUGGUUCAAAGAGGCUG
RNAcentral lists this non-coding RNA (21 nucleotides) under Arabidopsis thaliana (thale cress). Lineage: Eukaryota; Viridiplantae; Streptophyta; Magnoliopsida; Brassicales; Brassicaceae. The record is from RNAcentral.